This is a non-coding RNA of Musa acuminata subsp. malaccensis (wild Malaysian banana), 2283 nucleotides long. NCBI's taxonomy places the organism in Eukaryota, Viridiplantae, Streptophyta, Magnoliopsida, Zingiberales, Musaceae. The record is from RefSeq and is a predicted model, not a curated record.
GCUGCUGAAGAAGGGAGUUAUUAGCAGCAAAGACUUGGGUGGGGUGGGUGGUGCAGAAGAAAGCUUGGGUCGGUGGGUGAAAUUUAAUUAUUUUCAAUUUAAAUAUAGUUAUUAGCAAGGUUUAGUCCCACAUCGUAAUUAUUUUCAAGCUAACAUCUUUUUAUCAAUCCGUCGAUCGGUAACGCUGUUGUCUCUUCGAAGACAUCCGAUAAAAUUGGAAUGAUACAGAGAAGAUUAGCAUGGCCCCUGCGCAAGGAUGACACGCACAAAUCGAGAAAUGGUCAAAAUGUUUUUUCCGAUUCGCGUUCUCUUGUUCUUGAUUUGAUUUCCUAUCCUUUUGCCCUUCCUUCUCUGAUUUGAUUUCCCAGCCUCCCCUCUUCCUGGUUCUUCUGAUUCGAUUUUUGUUUUUGGUUUCUUUCUUAUUGGCUGCUACAAUCUGGUUCUUUAUGAUUUAGGGUUUUGUGCUCCGUUUUUUCCCAAAUCGAGUCGACUCGCUUUCAUUUUUGGUUUCUUAUUGGCUGUUAAUCUGGUUCUUUAGGAUUUAGGGUUCUGUGCUCCUUUUUCUCCCAUUUGUGUUCUUAUUUUGGUUUGUUUUCCAUUUCUUUUUUCUUUUUUCUGCUGAAUUUUUUCCUCGCUCUUAGUAGUGUUUUGUCUCCUUUGUGGUUUUUAAUCAAGUUCUCGUUUCUAUUUCUCUCUCUCUCUCGAUUUGUUUUGAUUCUUCUCCGGUUCUGGAAACCUGAGGACAUGGAUGGAUGGACUUCUGAGUUCGCUUCGCUUUGGAUCACAGCACCAUUCUUUACUCGCAUAAUGAGCAACGUUAUCAGUUACGGCGCCGGCUGAAUUGUUUUUUAUGUUAUCGACGGAUACUCUACUCUUCUUCUUGACUUGUUCGACUUCUGCACUCCCAUGAAUACAUGCUUCUGGUCGAAGACGGCGUUAUGUGUUGAUGGUAUUCGGACCUCUUUGUCAAACAUUCAAUAUUGGCUCUGCUGUUGCCUAUUGGAGAGGUAGCAGGUUCAGCACCAAGAAAUGGUUUCCAUCUGUGUGCCAUUGACAACCUAGAAACUUCAACUCAUAGGAUGAAGAUGAAGCAUGACACGAGUGCCAUGCCCUUAACGAUCCAUCAUGAACUGAAAGGACGUGAUAGCUUUUAACAAUCUGAUGGUCUUGAUACAUGUGAAUUAAAGAGUUGCUCACAGCAUUGUAUGUCAACGGAAGAAAGUUGGAAGAGCGAAAAGAAGGCAGUUUGAUCUAUUCCAUUGUCCAAAUGGUUUCAAAAUCAAGGAAGGUUUUCUCAAGCAUUCUAGACAAUAUCUAGUAAAGUAAGGUGCUUAGAUAAAUCUUGCUGCAUGCAACCAGUGUAGCUGUUGCGCUAUCUUGUGCCAGCACAAUGUCAGGACAGGCCAGUAAACAGAGCACUAGGUUGGCACAAGCUUCUAGUGGUCGGUCAUCUCUGUUCCCUCGGUGUCUUGGCACUAGGACAUGCCAAUGAAACUGUGGGCUAUAUAACACGCUAUGCUGCUCGGAUUCAGCAACUUUAAACAUAAGUUCAGUCCAUGGAUUGCUUCAUGACUACAUCCAUUUUAACCAUGAUCUUUCACUGUAUUUAGCUUAUGCCAAUCCUGACUAUCACAUAUCAGAGGUCUACGAUUUGAUCACAUUAGCCAGAAGAGCCUCUCAUCUUAUACGUAUGAAAUGCCAGCACACUUGUGCCGACCAUGCAGUGUCAUGCAUGUCGAAGAGCACUAAUUGCAUCAUUUGAUUCUGAAAUUACACUCAAUAUUGGUUGCGGAAUAUACGAGGCAAAACUCUGUGCUACAGCAUAUCGACUGUUAUUACUGUCAAGUGAUUGGCAGCACCUCUUUUUCUGGAAUUUGAAAGGAAAAUGAUGCUUAUUCCAGCUUCUUUUUGUCUAAUCCAGCUUCAUUCGAUGAAUAAGGUUUGAUUUGAAGCGUUUCACAACAUAGUUUGCAUUAAAUAUCUACUGCAGAAGUAGCUGAUAUGGAACUUCAACUCUUGGUAACGCCUCAGGUAAAACUAGAAUCGUCUGGUGUUGCCAUACAGCUUCAAUAAAGUUCACUUAUAGAAGCAAUUGGGACUAGUAUAUAAGCUUUUUCUGGGCAAAAAGAACUAUAUCAAAAUGUAUAUGUUAUCAGGGAUUAUGUGCAAUGUGGGUUAGCAAUCACUAAUGUGUUUGACUUUGUAUGGUGCUUAUCUCAUCUGUAUGCUUCUUGUGCUGUUUCUCCAGUAUAUAGUGAAGAUGCAAUAGAGUAGCAAUUUCUU